Molecule: long non-coding RNA, 516 nt
Organism: Ipomoea nil (Japanese morning glory)
Lineage: Eukaryota; Viridiplantae; Streptophyta; Magnoliopsida; Solanales; Convolvulaceae
Exons: 2
Source: RefSeq, a predicted model, not a curated record
CAAUCUGAAAGCUAACUGCUGAAACCGAACCCGUGAUCCGAACUACAUCAAGUCAUGACAGACAAAACAACAAUACAUAACUGGAAAGAGCAUGAUGAUGAAAAUUGAAAGCCACCGAUCAAUAUGAACUCAAUUUCCAGAAAUCCAAGAAUAAGAUAAUUGAACGCUUAAUGAUCAAACCGAUCUAUUCACUCAACUAGAACAGAUCCAGAGCCUUGAACUUGAUAUCAAAUCCACGAUAUGAGCUACAUCAACAUGACAAGACAUACAGACGAGCAUAAGUAACUGGAAAUAGACAUCCUCAGCAACCGAUCAAGACAUAUACCAAAAUUUAUAGAGAACUGAGCAUAAGAUAACCAAACAAGUAUUAUCAAUUUGAUCCAUGUCGUUCAACCAAAAGGCAUCCAAAAGCAGCAGCUGAAUUCGAAUCCACGAUCGAAACUACAUCAAGUCAUGACAGACAUACAAACAAUAAAUAAUCUGAAACAGAAAUCUUAAGCAACCGAUCAAUAUAAA